Molecule: small nuclear RNA, 105 nt
Organism: Ochotona princeps (American pika)
Lineage: Eukaryota; Metazoa; Chordata; Mammalia; Lagomorpha; Ochotonidae
Source: Ensembl
GUGCUUGCUUCGGCAGCGCAUAUAUUGAAGAUGGGGACGAUACAGAUAUUAGCAUGACCCCUGCGCAAGGAUGACACGUACGUUUGUGAAACAUUCCAUAUUUUA